This 1536-nucleotide ribosomal RNA is filed under the name Bacteroides fragilis. RNAcentral describes it as "bacterial SSU rRNA". It matches the Rfam family "Bacterial small subunit ribosomal RNA". Lineage: Bacteria; Pseudomonadati; Bacteroidota; Bacteroidia; Bacteroidales; Bacteroidaceae. The record is from RNAcentral.
CUUUUACAAUGAAGAGUUUGAUCCUGGCUCAGGAUGAACGCUAGCUACAGGCUUAACACAUGCAAGUCGAGGGGCAUCAGGAAGAAAGCUUGCUUUCUUUGCUGGCGACCGGCGCACGGGUGAGUAACACGUAUCCAACCUGCCCUUUACUCGGGGAUAGCCUUUCGAAAGAAAGAUUAAUACCCGAUAGCAUAAUGAUUCCGCAUGGUUUCAUUAUUAAAGGAUUCCGGUAAAGGAUGGGGAUGCGUUCCAUUAGGUUGUUGGUGAGGUAACGGCUCACCAAGCCUUCGAUGGAUAGGGGUUCUGAGAGGAAGGUCCCCCACAUUGGAACUGAGACACGGUCCAAACUCCUACGGGAGGCAGCAGUGAGGAAUAUUGGUCAAUGGGCGCUAGCCUGAACCAGCCAAGUAGCGUGAAGGAUGAAGGCUCUAUGGGUCGUAAACUUCUUUUAUAUAAGAAUAAAGUGCAGUAUGUAUACUGUUUUGUAUGUAUUAUAUGAAUAAGGAUCGGCUAACUCCGUGCCAGCAGCCGCGGUAAUACGGAGGAUCCGAGCGUUAUCCGGAUUUAUUGGGUUUAAAGGGAGCGUAGGUGGACUGGUAAGUCAGUUGUGAAAGUUUGCGGCUCAACCGUAAAAUUGCAGUUGAUACUGUCAGUCUUGAGUACAGUAGAGGUGGGCGGAAUUCGUGGUGUAGCGGUGAAAUGCUUAGAUAUCACGAAGAACUCCGAUUGCGAAGGCAGCUCACUGGACUGCAACUGACACUGAUGCUCGAAAGUGUGGGUAUCAAACAGGAUUAGAUACCCUGGUAGUCCACACAGUAAACGAUGAAUACUCGCUGUUUGCGAUAUACAGUAAGCGGCCAAGCGAAAGCAUUAAGUAUUCCACCUGGGGAGUACGCCGGCAACGGUGAAACUCAAAGGAAUUGACGGGGGCCCGCACAAGCGGAGGAACAUGUGGUUUAAUUCGAUGAUACGCGAGGAACCUUACCCGGGCUUAAAUUGCAGUGGAAUGAUGUGGAAACAUGUCAGUGAGCAAUCACCGCUGUGAAGGUGCUGCAUGGUUGUCGUCAGCUCGUGCCGUGAGGUGUCGGCUUAAGUGCCAUAACGAGCGCAACCCUUAUCUUCAGUUACUAACAGGUUAUGCUGAGGACUCUGGAGAGACUGCCGUCGUAAGAUGUGAGGAAGGUGGGGAUGACGUCAAAUCAGCACGGCCCUUACGUCCGGGGCUACACACGUGUUACAAUGGGGGGUACAGAAGGCAGCUAGCGGGUGACCGUAUGCUAAUCCCAAAAGCCUCUCUCAGUUCGGAUCGAAGUCUGCAACCCGACUUCGUGAAGCUGGAUUCGCUAGUAAUCGCGCAUCAGCCACGGCGCGGUGAAUACGUUCCCGGGCCUUGUACACACCGCCCGUCAAGCCAUGGGAGCCGGGGGUACCUGAAGUACGUAACCGCAAGGAUCGUCCUAGGGUAAAACUGGUGACUGGGGCUAAGUCGUAACAAGGUAGCCGUACCGGAAGGUGCGGCUGGAACACCUCCUUUCU